Long non-coding RNA from Gasterosteus aculeatus aculeatus (three-spined stickleback), 918 nucleotides. The record is from Ensembl. Lineage: Eukaryota; Metazoa; Chordata; Actinopteri; Perciformes; Gasterosteidae.
GUUGGAGUCUGGCUGGAGAAUCCAAUGAGCUGCUUGUCAGGGAGGCCCAAACCAUGUGUGAGCCGGACCAGGGGUGUUUGAGGCUGUCGACAGCGUAGCAUCCCAGAUGACUGCUAUGGCUGAUUCCACACACAGAAUCAAGAUUAACAUUGGCUAAAACUUCCAAAUGGCUUGCCAAAGUCACUAGAUAUCUUCACUGCAAGAUGAAGACAACCUUUAGGUUAAAGGGCAACCUGUCACUUCAAUACAUGGACCAAGAGUUUGGCAAUUACUUUUUAAUCUCAACUCUACCACUGAAUUUCAGGGACAAGUAGGAGGCCAAAGGGGUUAGUUGACGUGUAAAAUGUUUGCCCUACCUCUGUGGAUUGCCCGUGAGAAAUUGCGUAACCCGGUUUUAUAAAUUGUGGCAGAUAAUUUUUUUAAAUAUUGUCAUUUACUCAUUAUGCGUUGUGCAAGAAACCUGGUGGAGACCGUGGAGCCAUGAGUGCAAACAAAAGAGUCUUGUAAGACACAACUGCAAUUGCUGAUUAUGGGCGGUCGACCUCAACUGACAGAACCGUCCAGGUCAAAGGAGGCUCAUGGAUCUUGGCGGGAAGAUGGGCGAAGCCUGGGUUCUUAAAGGACGGUCCAGAGAAGACAACAGGCUCCUGCCUUGGAUGCCCAGAAGUGGUCAAGCAGUUUCAGCCUCCUGUGACGGUGGAAAUUACCAGCAGCCUUUAGUGAUUUGAGUGAACGGACGGUCCAGAGAAGAAUUCCGCCUCAGGCUGGCCAAGUGACUUCAGCCUCCUGUGAAAAUUGCCAACUGAAUGAGAGGACGAUUCAGAGAACACAACAGGCUCCUGCUUCAGGGUCAAGCAGCUUUAGCCUCCUGUGGAAAUUGCCUUGUGCUCCUGCCAACUUGGCGAUUUGAGUAACAGG